UACUAUAAAGGGGAGUAUUACCCUUUAUAGUAGCAACGUAGCAGUAGCA
RNAcentral lists this non-coding RNA (49 nucleotides) under unclassified sequences. RNAcentral's name for it is "ssNA-helicase RNA". It matches the Rfam family "ssNA-helicase RNA". Rfam says of the family: Firmicutes, Actinobacteria (1 example). The record is from Rfam by way of RNAcentral.